UCGAGAGGCUUCGGCAAUGGGGGAAACCCUGACCGAGCGACGCCGCGUGGGUGAUGAAGAUUCUCGGAUCGUAAAACCCUGUCAGGUGGGAUGAAAAACCAUUCGGUUAAUACCCGAGUGGCUUGACAGUACCACCAGAGGAAGCUCCGGCCAACUCCGUGCCAGCAGCCGCGGUAACACGGGGGGAGCAAGCGUUAAUCGGAAUUACUGGGCGUAAAGCGUGCGCAGGCGGCUUUGCAAGACAGAUGUGAAAUCCCCGGGCUCAACCUGGGAACUGCAUUUGUGACUGCAAGGCUGGAGUGCGGCAGAGGGGGAUGGAAUUCCGCGUGUAGCAGUGAAAUGCGUAGAUAUGCGGAGGAACACCGAUGGCGAAGGCAAUCCCCUGGGCCUGCACUGACGCUCAUGCACGAAAGCGUGGGGAGCAAACAGGAUUAGAUACCCCAGUAGUCCCUGAGCGGGCUGGCAAGGCGCAU
RNAcentral lists this ribosomal RNA (473 nucleotides) under uncultured bacterium. RNAcentral describes it as "bacterial SSU rRNA". It matches the Rfam family "Bacterial small subunit ribosomal RNA", at positions 355 to 825 of the family's 1533-position model. The record is from RNAcentral.